GACGAACGCUGGCGGCGUGCUUAACACAUGCAAGUCGAGCGGUAAGGCCCCUUCGGGGGUACGACGAGCGGCGAACGGGUGAGUAACACGUGGGUGACCUGCCCUCAGCUCUGGGAUAAGCCUGGGAAACUGGGUCUAAUACCGGAUAUGACUCCAUGACGCAUGUCGUGGGGUGGAAAGCCUUGUGCGGCUGGGGAUGGGCCCGCGGCCUAUCAGCUUGUUGGUGGGGUGAGGCCUACCAAGGCGACGACGGGUAGCCGGCCUGAGAGGGCGCCGGAACCNCACUGGGACUGAGACACGGCCCAGACUCCUACGGGAGGCAGCAGUGGGGAAUCUUGCGCAAUGGGCGAAAGCCUGACGCAGCGACGCCGCGUGAGGGAUGACGGCCUCGGUU
This 394-nucleotide ribosomal RNA is filed under the name uncultured bacterium. RNAcentral's name for it is "bacterial SSU rRNA". It matches the Rfam family "Bacterial small subunit ribosomal RNA", at positions 28 to 424 of the family's 1533-position model. The record is from RNAcentral.